AGUAUUUUGCUUCAAAUAAGAAAAGAACAUGCUAACCAUUUGGUUUCCACACAAAUCAUGAUUCAUGGCAAGCAAAAGAGAAAAAUCCAUCAUUAGAUCGUCUAGAAAUCUCUUGCUAUCCUCCAUCUUCUUCUUGUAUAUAUUCUUGCUUUGUUCCUCUCAUGUAUAUUGCUCCGCUAGAGAUAUUUUGAAGCAUGGCGAGUGGAUCGACUCUAACAAAGGAUCAACUCUUGUAUCUCCUGGAGAAAUGUUUGAACUUGGAUUCUUCACCCGCCCUUUGGAAAGCUCUAGCCCCAAAAUGUUCGUAGGGAUACAGUAUCACAAUAGUUCUAAACAAGCAAUUGUAUGGGUUGCAAACCGAAACAACCCAAUUCCUGAGGGUUCCUUUGGAGUUUUCGGAAUUGCAGAAGAUGGAAACCUCAAGGUUUGGGAUAAUUCUGGAAAAAUAUACUGGUCUACAGAACUUGAGAAUUCCUCGUCCACAAAUCAGAUUGUUAAGCUCAUGGAUUCUGGCAACCUGGUCUUAAGCGAUGAUGAUGAUCAGUCGUCAAAAAGUUUGUGGGAGAGCUUCAAACAUCCAACUGAUACAUUUCUUCCAGGCAUGAAGAUGGAUGAAAAUAUUACAUUGGUUUCAUGGACAGGCCCUGGUGACCCAACAAGUGGACAGUUCGAGUUUAAGCAAGAUCAAUUAGGAGUGUACAUCUACACUAUCACAAAAAAACCGGUUGAUUACUGGAAAAAUCGGAUCCCAGGUAAGUUCUUGAACUCAGAUAAAAUGCCUUCUCCUAUAGCCAACUUAUUAUCAAACUUUAGCACGAAAGCCAAUUAUACGUAUUUCAAAAACGAAACAAAACCAGUAAUGUCUAAGAAUUAUGGUGACGCAAGGCUGGUGAUGGAUUACAGCGGGCGGUUAAGGUAUCUGACUUGGGAUGAAGAGAGGGAUAAUUGGUCUUUGGCAUGGGAGGUGCCUGAAGACGAAUGUAGCAUUUACAAUGCCUGUGGGAAAUUAGGCAGCUGCAAUAUCAACAAUUGGUGGAAGUGCAAAUGUUUGCCGGGGUCCAAGCCUACUUAUCCAGAGCGGUGGUAUUCUAGAAAUUUUACUGAUGGGUGCACCAGAAAUCCGACAUUUUGUGACAAGAGUGGGACGACAUUCUUGAGCUUAAAUAUCAUAAAAGUGAGUAAUCCAAGCACAGAUUUCUUGGUAAAAGAUGAAGAAGAAUGCAGAAAAGAGUGUGUUGCGCAAUGCCAGUGCCAGGCCUAUUCAUACCAGGCAAAUGAAAACAGAACGCUAAGAGUUCACACUAUUACUAACACUAACCAGUGCUGGAUUUGGAAUAAUGAUCUAAGUGAUAUUCAAGAAGAGUAUACAAUCGAUCGAAACAUCUCCAUCCGCGAUCGAAACAUCUCCAUUCGCGUUGCAAAAUCCGACAUAGGAUCAUCUUUAAGGAACUGUGAGCCUUGUGGCACAAACGUGAUCCCCUAUCCUCUGAGCACAAGACCAAAUUGUGGUGACCCCAUGUACUUAAGCUUUUACUGCAACUAUUCCACAGGCCAGCUUAGCUUCAAGGCACUCACUCACACCUAUCGAGUGGAUGUUAUCUUUCCAAGUGAACAGAAAUUUGUCAUCCAAGUCAAUUUUACAGAUAAUAGUCAUGCUAGAAAUUUUGGAGAUCAGUGGCUCAAUCAUUCCUUGCCAUUUAGAGUGAACAGCUCGUUCCAUGAUGGUUCGGGCAACGUUAGCUCUGAAGUUACAGGUGUAGAGAUUAGUUGGGAGCCACCACUGGAGCCAACGUGUGAUUCCCCUGCAGACUGCAAGGAUUGGCCACAUUCAACUUGCAAUGCAGCAACAGAUGGAAAGAUGAGGUGCCUUUGCACCACAAACUUCCGUUGGGAUGCCUCAAAUUUGACUUGUACUACAGGGUCAUCCAAAGAGAAUUCAACAGGAAAGAUGUUGGCUUUGAUUGUUCAGGUAUCUCUUAUAGGUGUGGUUGUUCUGUCAUGCACCAUUAUUUGUGCAUAUAUUUGGAGAAGAAAGAUGGCCAAGAGGCAAGAUAUCCAAAGCAUGGAUAAAAGAAAAAGAGCACUUCGCACGUUGGAUACCGAACGACAUGUCAAAGACUUGAUAGACUCGGGUGAGUUUAGAGAAGAAGGUGAGACGACAGACAUUGAUCUGCCCUUUUUUGAUUUGGAAAUCAUACUAGAAGCUACACAUUAUUUCUCAGAUGCAAACAAGCUCGGACAAGGUGGCUUUGGGCCUGUUUACAAGGGUAUAUUUCCAGGAGGUCAAGAAAUUGCAGUAAAGAGGCUCUCCAGUGUUUCAAGACAAGGCUUACAAAAAUUUAAAAAUGAAGUGGUGUUGAUUGCAAAACUUCAACAUAGAAAUCUCGUUAGACUUCGAGGGUAUUGCAUAAAAGGGGAUGAAAAAAAAUUACUAUACGAGUACCUGCCUAAUAAAAGCUUAGACUCAUUUAUAUUUGAUCAAAAACUAAGCAUGCUUUUGGAUUGGGAGAUGCGCUUCAACAUAAUUAUGGGAAUAGCUUGAGGGCUUCUUUAUCUCCACCAAGACUCCAAAUUAAGGAUCAUCCAUAGAGAUCUAAAAACCGGCAACAUUCUUCUAGAUCAUGAGAUGAACCCCAAAAUAUCUGACUUUGGGUUGGCAAAGAUGGUUGGAGGCAAAGAAACUGGGGCAAACACUGCCAAAGUAGUUGGAACUUAUGGCUAUAUGUCUCCAGAGUACAUAUUAGAUGGAAUUUUCUCAAUCAAAUCCGAUUUUUUUUUGUUUUGGUUUAGUCUUACUUGAGAUUAUUAGUGGCAAAAAGAACACAGGAUUUUAUCAAUCAGAACAAGCCUUGAGCCUUAUAGGUUAUGUUUGGAAAUUGUGGACAGAAAACAUGGUUUUGGAUUUAAUCGAUCAGACACUACAUGAAACUUGCAAUGUAGACCAAUUUGUGAAGUGCGUAAAUGUUGGACUCUUAUGCGUACAAGAACUCCUUGAUGAUUGUCCCACCAUGUCAAAUGUUGUUACAAUGCUUGACAGUGAAACUGCAACAGUUCCAACUCCUAAACAACCAACUUUUGUUCCAAGGAGAGGCCAAUCCAGCACAACUUCUUCUUCUAGUAGACCGGAAACGUAUAUAGAACUAACUUCUAGUUUAGAAGAAGCACAAAAAUGAAUGAUGCUAAUUUUGAUGGUGUGUCCUUUAAUCCCCUUGUAAAGUUUCUCUUGCACAAAUAAUCGAUUUCUAUACUAUGAGUCGUGUUGGGUUCUAAGACUUUAGGUUUAAAUGUAUUAGAACUUCAAUUUGUAAUGUUGGCAAACCAUGAUCAAAACGUUUUAGUCUUGUUUAGACUUGCUCAAAGUAUGUGGUUGUAUGUAAAGUUGGAAUCGAGUAGCUGCAGGAUUUAUUAUGUAAAUCUGCCUGGCUCAAUCGAUCAAGAAUUAGACUUGAUCGAUCGAAGCUCGUGCAAAUUGUUUUUCUGCAGAAUUUUCCAACUCAGCCAAGCCCGUUUAACAUGUAGGG
This is an RNA transcript of Quercus lobata, 3521 nucleotides long. It is a transcript of the gene named G-type lectin S-receptor-like serine/threonine-protein kinase At4g03230, with no coding region annotated. The record is from RefSeq and is a predicted model, not a curated record. NCBI's taxonomy places the organism in Eukaryota, Viridiplantae, Streptophyta, Magnoliopsida, Fagales, Fagaceae. The transcript is spliced from 8 exons.